Long non-coding RNA from Choloepus didactylus (southern two-toed sloth), 1072 nucleotides. RefSeq lists it as uncharacterized. Lineage: Eukaryota; Metazoa; Chordata; Mammalia; Pilosa; Megalonychidae. The transcript has 3 exons. The record is from RefSeq and is a predicted model, not a curated record.
GGGGAGAGGCGGGGGCGGCCGGGCGGCCCACUGAAUCGACCCGCCGCCCCUGGAGCAGCGCACAUGUCAGGCCCCGAAAGCCCCGACCGGACUGAGCAGCCGCUCGGCCGCGCGGGGUCCCGUCGAUCGCCCCGGCUCUGCCGCCGCCUCCCGCGUUCGCUCCGGCCGGGGAAUCAGGGGACCGCAGCCGCCGCCAAGGACCAGGCUCGAGGCUACGCGCGGGGCGCCGCAACUUCGCCGCCAGCCGGGGCCGCCACGGUGGAUUUGGCUGGAAGCAGGGGGAUGAGGAACACACAGAAGAGGACCUGGCUUCUGUCAUCCCAUCAACAGUCCUCAGUGAUUCUCCCAUGAACAGCAUGUGGGAAUGUGGCCCCAGGCCUGGCCUUCCCCACAAGGUGAUGAUGGUGGAGCACACCAGGAUGGCAGACAGCUGGACAAACAUCCCUGCUUUCAAGAGCUCAUGGGAUCACACUGUAUUGACCCAGUCAGCCUGACUACUCACUAUAUAAUAAGGUUCAUCAUUAUAUGACAGUCCUUAUUAUGGACUAUUUCCUGGCUGGAGUUUGCUCUCAGCCCCUAAAGACUGCUCUCCUUUUGUGUGGAAUCGGACUUCCCUUCUACUAUCAGCUGGAGAACAUUCUGCCUUAAAAUGGUAAUGGAGUUAAAUUAAGGCUACCCGGAUAAUCUCCUUAUCUUAAAGUCAACUGAUUAGUAUCUUAAUUAAUAAUUAUGGAAGAAAAACCUGGGCUAAUGUCAAGAAAGCCACCUGCCUACCCUGUCACAGUCCCAGGUGAAAUUGUGAGAAUAAAUAAUUUCAGAUGAGAUCCCUCAACAAGAAACAUUGUCGAUUUAUUAUAAUUUUUAAAUUAUGAAAUAUGUCUCAAGAAGAUGUCUGUUUUGGAAAAUUAUAUAAGAAAGCUGGAGAGAGAAGAGAUGUUGCACCCAAGUGGGAAAUGUCUUAACAUUAAGCAAGUUAAAAAAUAAAACUUUUAAAUAUAACUUGAAAAAUACUUUUUACUAUUUAAAGUUGAAUCUUUUCCAGAAAGUGUAAAAAUGAACAGUGUAUAGUUAU